Molecule: ribosomal RNA, 504 nt
Filed under: uncultured bacterium
Lineage: Bacteria
Description: bacterial SSU rRNA
Rfam family: Bacterial small subunit ribosomal RNA
Source: RNAcentral
GAUGAACGCUAGCGGCAGGCCUAAUACAUGCAAGCCGGACGGCAAGUUGAGUAGCAAUACUUGACCUAGAGUGGCGUAAGGGUGCGUAACACGUAUGCAAUCUGCCCACAGCCGGGAGAUAGCCCUCCGAAAGGAGGAUUAAUAUCCCAUAGGAAGAUGAGAUGGCAUCAUUUUAUUUUUAAACUACGGGGCUGUGGAUGAGCAUGCGGUUGAUUAGCUAGUUGGCGGGGUAAAGGCCCACCAAGGCGAUGAUCAAUAGGGGACCUGAGAGGGUGAUCCCCCACACUGGCACUGAGAUACGGGCCAGACUCCUACGGGAGGCAGCAGUAGGGAAUAUUGGACAAUGGGUGUAAGCCUGAUCCAGCCAUGCCGCGUGCAGGAAGAAGGCCUUCUGGGUUGUAAACUGCUUUUGUACGGAACGAAACGGUCCUUUUAAUACAGAGGGCUAAUGACGGUACCGUAAGAAUAAGCACCGGCUAACUACGUGCCAGCAGCCGCGGUAAU